Molecule: long non-coding RNA, 280 nt
Filed under: Malus domestica (apple)
Lineage: Eukaryota; Viridiplantae; Streptophyta; Magnoliopsida; Rosales; Rosaceae
Description: long non-coding RNA (MDOM_LNC000203)
Source: RNAcentral
CUUGCGGACAAACAGGGCAUAUGGCCUAUAAUUGUCCUCAGAAUCAGAAGAAUCAGCCUGCUAAUCUACCACCUGCAGUCCCCUUGCAGCAGUUUCCAGCACCUGGUAAUCGUCAGCAGAUAGGCCACGGUGGAGCUUUCCACUACCAAGGGGACGUAGCCCAGAAUCAGGGAGGACAUACCAAUACACACCUGAGGUUCCCUACUAUCAGGGAGGCUAUCAGCAGAUUCAGGGAGGCUAACAGUAGACUCAGGGUGGUUAUUCGCAGUUUCAAGGAGAC